UACGUAGGGGGCAAGCGUUGUCCGGAAUCAUUGGGCGUAAAGCGCGUGUGGGCGGUUCGGUAAGUCGGCUGUGAAAGUCCAGGGCUCAACCCUGGGAUGCCGGUCGAUACUGCCGGACUAGAGUUCGGAAGAGGCGAGUGGAAUUCCCGGUGUAGCGGUGAAAUGCGCAGAUAUCGGGAGGAACACCAAUGGCGAAGGCAGCUCGCUGGGACGUUACUGACGCUGAGACGCGAAAGCGUGGGGAGCAAACGGG
This 253-nucleotide ribosomal RNA is filed under the name uncultured bacterium. Its description in RNAcentral is "partial 16S ribosomal RNA". It matches the Rfam family "Bacterial small subunit ribosomal RNA", at positions 524 to 776 of the family's 1533-position model. The record is from RNAcentral.